CUUCCCAGGCGGAGUACUUAAUGUGUUAACUGCGGCACAGGGGGUGGUACCCCCCUACACCUAGUACUCAUCGUUUACGGCGUGGACUACCAGGGUGUCUAAUCCUGUUUGCUCCCCACGCUUUCAUGCCUCAGCGUCAGUUACGUUCCAGAAAUUCGCCUUCGCUACUGGUGUUCCUCCCAAUCUCUACGCAUUUCACCGCUACACUGGGAAUACCAAUUUCCUCUCCCGCACUCUAGCUUUCCAGUUUGGAAUGCAGUUCCUGGGUUGAGCCCAGGGAUUUCACAUCCCACUUAAAAAGCCGCCUACGCAUUCUUUACGCCCAGUAAUUCCGGACAACGCUUGCCACCUACGUAUUACCGCGGCUGCUGGCACGUAGUUAGCCGUGGCUUCCUCCUCGCUUACCGUCAUUCUUCGUCAGCGAAGACAGAGCUUUACAACCCGAAGGCCUUCAUCGCUCACGCGGCGUUGCUGCAUCAGGCUUUCGC
This 488-nucleotide ribosomal RNA is filed under the name uncultured bacterium. RNAcentral describes it as "partial 16S rRNA". The record is from RNAcentral.